Molecule: transfer RNA, 72 nt
Filed under: Plenodomus lingam JN3
Lineage: Eukaryota; Fungi; Ascomycota; Dothideomycetes; Pleosporales; Leptosphaeriaceae
Description: tRNA-Ile (TAT) (tRNA-Ile-TAT-1-1)
Rfam family: tRNA
About the family: Transfer RNA (tRNA) molecules are approximately 80 nucleotides in length.
Source: RNAcentral
AGUCCUGUGGCGCAGUGGUAGCGCGCUGCUCUUAUAAUGCAGAUGUCGUGGGUUCGAUCCCCACCAGGACUA